UACGUAGGUGGCAAGCGUUGUCCGGAUUUACUGGGUGUAAAGGGCGUGCAGCCGGGCUGACAAGUCAGAUGUGAAAUCCCGCGGCUCAACCGCGGAACUGCAUUUGAAACUGUCAGUCUUGAGUACCGGAGAGGAGAGUGGAAUUCCUAGUGUAGCGGUGAAAUGCGUAGAUAUUAGGAGGAACACCAGUUGCGAAGGCGGCUCUCUGGACUGUAACUGACACUGAGGCACGAAAGCGUGGGGAGCAAACAGG
RNAcentral lists this ribosomal RNA (253 nucleotides) under uncultured bacterium. Its description in RNAcentral is "partial 16S ribosomal RNA". It matches the Rfam family "Bacterial small subunit ribosomal RNA", at positions 524 to 776 of the family's 1533-position model. The record is from RNAcentral.